Long non-coding RNA from Hippocampus comes (tiger tail seahorse), 620 nucleotides. RefSeq lists it as uncharacterized. Lineage: Eukaryota; Metazoa; Chordata; Actinopteri; Syngnathiformes; Syngnathidae. The record is from RefSeq and is a predicted model, not a curated record. The transcript has 2 exons.
ACACACGUCUGUCGCAUUGAGUCAAUUCUCGUUCCCUUCUCCUUCAUCCAUAUUGCUUGACGUUCCUUACUUGUGCUAGCCAUGCGGCCUCGUUAGCGCAGUAGGUAGCGCGUCAGUCUCAUAAUCUGAAUGUCAUGAGUUCAACCCUCAUAUGGGGCAUGGCAGUCUUUUCCCUAACCUCUUCAAUCAAAAAUGUUUUUCGCCACUUGGACAUGAACAUGCAUCUGGCCCAUUGAGUCAAUUCUCCGCUUGACUUUCCCUCCUCAUUCAUAUCGCUUUACAUUUGUUACUUUUAUGAACAUGCGGUCUCGUUAGCGCAGUAGGUAGCGCGUCAGUCUCAUCAUCUGAAAGUCAUGAGUUCAACCCUCAUACGGGGCAUGGAAGUCUUUUCCCAAACCUCUUCAGUUGAAAUUGGUUUUCACCACUUGAACACGAACACGCGUCUGUCGCAUUGAGUCAAUUCUCGUUCCCUUCUCCUUCAUCCAAAUUGCUUGACAUUCAUUACUUGUGCUAGCCAUGCGGCCUCGUUAGCGCAGUAGGUAGCGCGUCAGUCUCAUAAUCUGAAGGUCAUGAAUUCAACCCUCAUACGGGGCAUGGCGGUCUUUUCCCAAACCUCUUCA